UGGGGAAUCUUGCACAAUGGGCGAAAGCCUGAUGCAGCGACGCCGCGUGUGUGAUGAAGGUCUUCGGAUCGUAAAGCACUUUCGGCCGGGAAGAAAAACCCUGUGGCUAAUAUCCACGGGGUGUGACGGUACCGGCAGAAGAAGCAACGGCUAACUCUGUGCCAGCAGCCGCGGUAAUACAGAGGUUGCGAGCGUUGUUCGGAAUUAUUGGGCGUAAAGCGCGUGUAGGCGGGAUGGCAAGUCGGGUGUGAAAGCCCUCAGCUCAACUGAGGAAGUGCGCCCGAAACUACUGUUCUUGAGUGCCGGAGAGGGUGGCGGAAUUCCCGGUGUAGAGGUGAAAUUCGUAGAUAUCGGGAGGAACACCAGUGGCGAAGGCGGCCACCUGGACGGACACUGACGCUGAGACGCGAAAGCGUGGGGAGCAAACAGGAUUAGAUACCCUGGUAGUCCACGCCGUAAACGAUGGGUGCUAGGUGUUGUGGGUGUCGACCCCCGCAGUGCCGUAGCUAACGCAUUAAGCACCCCGCCUGGGAAGUACGGCCGCAAGGCUAA
This 552-nucleotide ribosomal RNA is filed under the name uncultured Cystobacterineae bacterium. RNAcentral describes it as "bacterial SSU rRNA". It matches the Rfam family "Bacterial small subunit ribosomal RNA", at positions 355 to 897 of the family's 1533-position model. The record is from RNAcentral. Lineage: Bacteria; Pseudomonadati; Myxococcota; Myxococcia; Myxococcales.